RNAcentral lists this ribosomal RNA (469 nucleotides) under uncultured bacterium. RNAcentral's name for it is "partial 16S ribosomal RNA". It matches the Rfam family "Bacterial small subunit ribosomal RNA", at positions 28 to 507 of the family's 1533-position model. The record is from RNAcentral.
GACGAACGCUGGCGGCGUGCUUAACACAUGCAAGUCGAACGGAAAGGCCCUGCUUGCAGGGUGCUCGAGUGGCGAACGGGUGAGUAACACGUGGGUGAUCUGCCCCUUACUUUGGGAUAAGCCUGGGAAACUGGGUCUAAUACUGGAUAGGACCAUGCUGUAGGUGGUGUGGUGGAAAGAUUAGUUUCGGUAAGGGAUGAGCUCGCGGCCUAUCAGCUUGUUGGUGGGGUAAUGGCCUACCAAGGCGUCGACGGGUAGCCGGCCUGAGAGGGUGGACGGCCACAGUGGGACUGAGAUACGGCCCAGACUCCUACGGGAGGCAGCAGUGGGGAAUAUUGCACAAUGGGCGCAAGCCUGAUGCAGCGACGCCGCGUGGGGGAUGACGGCCUUCGGGUUGUAAACUCCUUUCAGCCAUGACGAAGCCCUUGUGGUGACGGUAGUGGUAGAAGAAGCACCGGCUAACUACGUG